GAGCAUUGAUAUAAAACUCUGUGUAAAACAAUUUAUUAUAAUCUCAUCCAAAUAAAAGUUGAGAAAAAAGGAGCAAUUCAAGAAUAAUAAAUAAUCGUUGUAAAUUAUUUUAAAAAAUGCUACUAACCAUAUCUAUCUUAUCAUCUUCACUAAUCAAGUGAAUCCUUUGUGUUACAGUGUGAACAGCUGCUAAAUCAAGUGACCCAACGCAUACUUGAAUCGGAUUUUUCAUGUACGAUUGAGCUAAGCGUCUUACACCUUGUGGCCAUGUAGCGCUGACAAACAGAUAGAAUGCGGCGCAUUAACAUUCAUUGCAUCAAUUAUACAUAAUACUAAUGUGACUUAUGUAUACCUCGUCAUAACGGUUUGUCUAUCUGGUCGUACACCUAGUAAGGUUUUGCGAAUUUGUGGUUCAAAACCCAUGUCCAGCAUGCGAUCAGCUUCGUCAAGUAUGAGAUAUGUCACGGCUGAUACGUUUAACACUCCCGCUUGCACCAAGUCGUUUAAUCUUCCGGGGGUUGCGAUUACUAUCUGCACGCCCUUUGUUACCAUGUUGAUUUGUUGUUUCCGACUUCCACCACCGUACACGCACACGCUAAAAUAAUUUUCGAUCAUGUAUAAUAUAUAUAAGAGCUUAUAUUUUGCAAGAUGUAAAAUAGUAACACAUGAAAAUAUGCAAAUCGGAAUCUUAUAUGAAAUACACUCACGCUUUAAUACCGCGAUAAGAAUAUUUUCCAACUUCCUUUUCAAUUUGCAAUGCCAGUUCUCUAGUUGGUGCCAUAACGAGGACAUUUGGUCCAGGACGCUCUUCACGAGGAGAUACUUGCCCAUCAAUGUGGAUCAAAGCAGGCAAUAAGAAAGCAAGAGUUUUUCCUGAAAUCAUGAUUAUCAUUAAUAUAUCAAUAUAUGCGAAAUCGUAUAUGAAUCGUAACAAAAAUAAAAAAUCAUCGAACCAGUUCCGGUUUGCGCUAUCCCGAUAAGAUCUUGACCGCUCAAUAGAAUAGGCCAUGCUUGACAUUGUAUAGGGCUUGGUUUUUCAAAUUUCUGUUUUUGUAUUUCUUUGAGGAUAUCUGGAUAGUUCUACAAUAUAAAAAAAAAUAUGUAUCAAUUUUGUCAAAAUAAUAGAAUUAUAAACUAA
Molecule: long non-coding RNA, 1138 nt
Organism: Nylanderia fulva
Lineage: Eukaryota; Metazoa; Arthropoda; Insecta; Hymenoptera; Formicidae
Source: RefSeq, a predicted model, not a curated record